GACGAACGCUGGCGGCGUGCUUAACACAUGCAAGUCGAGCGAUGAAGCACCUUCGGGUGUGAAUUAGCGGCGAACGGGUGAGGAACACGUGAAGAAUCUGCCUUCAACUCUGGGAUAACUCCGGGAAACCGGGGAUAAUACCGGAUAUGAGCAUUGAUCGCAUGAUCGGGGCUGGGAAGUUUGUCGGUUGAAGAUGAAGUCGCGGCCUAUCAGCUUGUUGGUGAGGUAAUGGCGCACCAAGGCGACGACGGGUAGCCGGCCUGAGAGGGCGACCGGCCACACUGGGACUGAGACACGGCCCAGACUCCUACGGGAGGCAGCAGUGGGGAAUAUUGGGCAAUGGAGGAAACUCUGACCCAGCGACGCCGCGUGAGGGAUGAAGGCCUUCGGGUUGUAAACCUCUUUCAGUAGGGAAGAAGCGAAAGUGACGGUACCUACAGAAGAAGCACCGGCUAACUAUGUGCCAGCCGCCGCAGUAA
Molecule: ribosomal RNA, 479 nt
Filed under: uncultured bacterium
Lineage: Bacteria
Description: partial 16S ribosomal RNA
Rfam family: Bacterial small subunit ribosomal RNA
Source: RNAcentral